This 105-nucleotide ribosomal RNA is filed under the name Acanthosepion pharaonis. The record is from RNAcentral. Lineage: Eukaryota; Metazoa; Mollusca; Cephalopoda; Sepiida; Sepiidae.
ACAUCACGUUGAAACACCGGUUCUUGUACGAUCGUCGAAGUUAAGCAACAUCAAGUUUGGUCAGUACCUAGAUGGGUGACCGCUUGGGAAUACAAGGUGCUGUAA